CCUACGGGGGGCAGCAGUAGGGAAUAUUGCUCAAUGGGGGAAACCCUGAAGCAGCAACGCCGCGUGGAGGAUGAAGGUUUUAGGAUUGUAAACUCCUUUUGUUAGAGAAGAUUAUGACGGUAUCUAACGAAUACGCACCUGCUAACUCCGUGCCAGCAGCCGCGGUAAUACGGAGGGUGCAAGCGUUACUCGGAAUCACUGGGCGUAACGAGUGCGUAGGCGGGGUAAUAAGUCAGAUGUGAAAUCCUGUAUCUUAACUACAGAACUGCAUUUGAUACUGUUAUUCUGGAGUGCGGGAGAGGUAGGUGGAAUGCUUGGUGUAGAGGUGAAAUCCGUAGAGAUCAAGCAGAAUACUCAUUGCGAAGGCGACCUGCUGGAACGCUACUGACGCUGAUGCACGAAAGCGUGGGGAGCAAACAGGAUUAGAUACCCGGGUAGUC
This 440-nucleotide ribosomal RNA is filed under the name uncultured bacterium. RNAcentral describes it as "partial 16S ribosomal RNA". It matches the Rfam family "Bacterial small subunit ribosomal RNA", at positions 338 to 795 of the family's 1533-position model. The record is from RNAcentral.